This 497-nucleotide ribosomal RNA is filed under the name uncultured bacterium. Its description in RNAcentral is "partial 16S ribosomal RNA". It matches the Rfam family "Bacterial small subunit ribosomal RNA", at positions 28 to 507 of the family's 1533-position model. The record is from RNAcentral.
GAUGAACGCUGGCGGCGUGCCUAAUACAUGCAAGUCGAGCGAACAGACGAGGAGCUUGCUCCUCUGACGUUAGCGGCGGACGGGUGAGUAACACGUGGAUAACCUACCUAUAAGACUGGGAUAACUUCGGGAAACCGGAGCUAAUACCGGAUAAUAUAUUGAACCGCAUGGUUCAAUAGUGAAAGACGGUUUUGCUGUCACUUAUAGAUGGAUCCGCGCCGCAUUAGCUAGUUGGUAAGGUAACGGCUUACCAAGGCGACGAUGCGUAGCCGACCUGAGAGGGUGAUCGGCAACACUGGAACUGAGACACGGUCCAGACUCCUACGGGAGGCAGCAGUAGGGAAUCUUCCGCAAUGGGCGAAAGCUUGACGGAGCAACGCCGCGUGAGUGAUGAAGGUCUUCGGAUCGUAAAACUCUGUUAUUAGGGAAGAACAAAUGUGUAAGUAACUAUGCACGUCUUGACGGUACCUAAUCAGAAAGCCACGGCUAACUACGUG